AUACGGAGGGUGCAAGCGUUAUUCGGAAUCACGGGGCGUAAAGGACGCGUAGGCGGGUUGGCAAGUCAGAUGUGAAAUCCUACAGCUUAACUGUAGAACUGCAUUUGAAACUGCUAACCUAGAGUAUGGGAGGGGGAGAUGGAAUUAGUGGUGUAGGGGUAAAAUCCGCAGAUAUCACUAGGAAUACCGAAAGCGAAGGCGAUCUCCUGGAACAUAACUGACGCUAAGGCGUGAAAGCGUGGGGAGCAAACAGGAUUAGAAACCCUAGUAGUCC
This 274-nucleotide ribosomal RNA is filed under the name uncultured bacterium. RNAcentral describes it as "partial 16S ribosomal RNA". It matches the Rfam family "Bacterial small subunit ribosomal RNA", at positions 523 to 796 of the family's 1533-position model. The record is from RNAcentral.